Molecule: ribosomal RNA, 458 nt
Filed under: uncultured bacterium
Lineage: Bacteria
Description: bacterial SSU rRNA
Rfam family: Bacterial small subunit ribosomal RNA
Source: RNAcentral
UACGGGAGAGCAGCAGUGGGGAAUAUUGCACAAUGGGCGCAAGCCUGAUGCAGCCAUGCCGCGUGUAUGAAGAAGGCCUUCGGGUUGUAAAGUACUUUCAGUCGUGAGGAAGGUGUUAAGGUUAAUAACCUUAGCAAUUGACGUUAGCGACAGAAGAAGCACCGGCUAACUCCGUGCCAGCAGCCGCGGUAAUACGGAGGGUGCGAGCGUUAAUCGGAAUUACUGGGCGUAAAGGGCACGCAGGCGGUUAAUUAAGUUGGAUGUGAAAUCCCCGGGCUUAACCUGGGAAUGGCAUUCAAGACUGGUUAGCUAGAGUCUUGUAGAGGGGGUAGAAUUCCAUGUGUAGCGGUGAAAUGCGUAGAGAUGUGGAGGAAUACCGGGUGGCGAAGGCGGCCCCUGGGACAAAGGACUGACGCUCGAUGUGCGAAAGCGUGGGGAGCAAACGAGGAUUAGAUACC